Molecule: small nuclear RNA, 20 nt
Filed under: Arabidopsis thaliana (thale cress)
Lineage: Eukaryota; Viridiplantae; Streptophyta; Magnoliopsida; Brassicales; Brassicaceae
Description: snRNA_02664
Source: RNAcentral
AAAUCUUUCUACAGGGAAAA